This 253-nucleotide ribosomal RNA is filed under the name uncultured bacterium. Its description in RNAcentral is "partial 16S ribosomal RNA". It matches the Rfam family "Bacterial small subunit ribosomal RNA", at positions 524 to 776 of the family's 1533-position model. The record is from RNAcentral.
UACGUAGGGUGCAAGCGUUAAUCGGAAUUACUGGGCGUAAAGCGUGCGCAGGCGGUUUUGUAAGUCUGUCGUGAAAUCCCCGGGCUUAACCUGGGAACUGCAUUUGUGACUGCAUAGCUAGAGUACGGUAGAGGGGGAUGGAAUUCCGCGUGUAGCAGUGAAAUGCGUAGAUAUGCGGAGGAACACCGAUGGCGAAGGCAAUCCUCUGGACCUGUACUGACGCUCAUGCACGAAAGCGUGGGGAGCAAACAGG